CCUUCAUCCAACAGGACUGGUGUCCUCAGAAGAAGAAGAGCUACCUGAGGAUGUGUCACACAGAAAAAAGGCCGUGAGAGGACACAACCAGAAGGUAGCUGCCUGCAAACCAGAGAAAGAGAUCUCACCAGAAACCAACCCUGCUGGCAGCAUGAUCUUGGACUUUCAGCUUCCAGAACUUGAAACUGCUAGUAAGUGGUAGAAGCAGAGGUUGGAGCCAGCUCUUUUGGAUCCAGGGAGCUCGUCACUAUACCACAUGUUAUUCUAAUACUUCAGAGGUUGGAAAACGAAUAUGGCCCUUUCGUUCAUGACCUCCUCCCAGGAGCAGAGCAGCAGAUAGUGGGGCCAAGAGUGGCCCAAGAACACCCACUGGGGACCUAAUGACGACCACAUUGCGCAAGUCCUGUUUAUCCUUCACUGUGGAAAUCACGUCAUCAUGGAGGCUUCAGAUUCUUUUGUGAUCGUGUAUUCUGGUGCAAGAACCCCUUCCUGGGAUACUGGGUAAAGGGUAGAAUUUCCUGAUGGGGGAUGUGAAACCAUGGUUAAAAUAAGAGAUGACAUUGAAGGAGCUUUCAUGAACACAAUCAAAAAAUUCUUGGAAUUCAAUAAUAAAAAUAUUUAUUAAUAUACUUAUUUUAGCAGAGUAGUCAGUAUUUAUUGAGAACUUAGUAUGUAGUAGACUGUUCUAUGUGCUUUAGACAUCUUAUAUCUUUUAAUUUUCAAGUGCAUGCAAUUUCCAGUCUGUGUGUUGCUAGAGUGAUGGCUGAAAGAGAUGGAAAAGGCAGCCCACAAAAAAGCCUCUGCCACUUCCAGAUUGAUUUUUCAUUGAAUUUGCAGUUGUUUGACUUAAUGCACCAAGCCAUCUGGUUUCUUGGGCAUCCUGUGGACACACAACUUGGCCAGGUCACUUUAGACCUCUCACUUUUUAUUUGAUCUUAUGAUGUAAAGCCUGUGAAUGACUCUCAGGGCUGCGUUUCCUCUGUAAGACACAUAGACCUAUUCAAAACAUAGCAGUAGUUUCUGUUUCUGUUCUCCAUUCCAUUUGGGGAACAAGAAGUGUAAACAAUAAAGGGAAUCGUAUUUUAGCUUACUAAUUCUCAGUGCAGUACUUUUGAUAUUAAUGGUUGAAGCGGUCUAGAUGUCGCUGUUGUCAUUGUAGCUCCAUUUUAAUUUUUGUUUUUAAGGGAGUAUCAAGGUUCACUUUAAGGGACCAAAAUAAUUGCUUUCUUAGAUAUAUCCUGAAGUUUCCUUUCUAAACCAUGAUUGAUAUAUCAGCUACAAAUGUUAAACCCCAAAUAUCUACUGUCUGUUUCCUCUGGAGGAAAGAAUUCUAUGAGGUUGAUAACCACUGUGUAAAGUACAUUACUAACCUGUCAAUAUGUCUAUGUUCUCUCUAGUACCCUGAGUGUUAGGGAAUGUGUCUUCCUUCCAUCAAAGUCACUCUAUACAGAGAUUACAUAUGAUAUGCUAGGGACUAGGGAUUCAGCGCUGUAUACAACAGAUGAUCGUCCCCUCAUGGAGGUGACAUUCUAGUGGGAGGAUAUGCAUUAUGGUUUUAUGGACAUGGAUCCCAUUCUUCUUAGUCUUCUGUCUCAUUCAGUUUUCCUCUUUGAUAAUAAGAUCUAUCUUCUCCAUGAAAAUUCCCCUGAAGACUUCAGAAAUAUUAUUGAUAAGACUCAUUUGGAAUAUAUACACUUGUAAUUUUGUAUUGUCAUCUACUUUUUUUAUACGCAAAUGUCUCUUCUCCAUAGCUAGACAUGAUCGUGUUUCUACUCAUAAAACUUCUGACAGUAAAUGUGUAUCUUUUUUCAUCCACCUAACAACCAGUUUUUCAGUUCUCUAGACACCAACUGAGCGUCCUACAAUUCAACUCAUUUCUGACACUAACUACUCAGAGUUAGCACAGAUCCCACAAGUCAAGAGCUCAGUCCCACAAGACUGUCUCACUUCAGAUGCCAGUUGCAAGUCCCAGGUUUCCAUCUGUACUUCUGACCAAUGGCUGUAAAUUCAUGGGGCUCUCACAACUCCCUCGUCAGGCUCGAUAAUUUGUUACAAAGGCUCACAAAACUCAUGAAAACAGUUAUUUACUAUUAUUACUUUAUUAUAAAGGAUACAACUCAGGAACAGCCAAACAGAAGAGGGCCAGGUGUAGGAGAAGCAGCGCAGAACUUGCAUGCCCUCUCGGGGCGUGCCACCCUCCCAGUACCUCAAUGUGUUCACAAACCUGGAAGCUCUUGGAACCCCAUUGUUUAAGGGUUUCUAUGGAACUUCCAUUCUGGAGGCAUGAUUGAUUGAAUCAUUGGCCAUAGGUGACUGAACUCAAUCUCUGGCCCCUUUUUCCUCCCAAAAGGUCUCGGGGGGGGGGGGGGGGUGGCCUAAAAGUCUCAACCCUCUAAUCACAUGGUUGGUUCCUCUGGCAACCAGCCGCCAUCCUAAAGCUAUCUAGGGGCCCUCCAAGAGUCACCUUAUUAGUGUAAACUCAGGAAUGCUUGAAAGGGGCUUUUUAUGAAUAACAAAAGAUACUUCUGUCACUGCUAUCACUCAGGAAAUUCCAAGGGUUUUAGAAAAUCUGUGUCAGGAACUGGGGAUGAAGAGCAAAUAUAUAGUUCUUAUUCUUACACUAGAUUUUUAAGUUUCUAAGGGGAGGGAUCACUACACACAUUGUUUUAUUACUUUUUAUUUUGCAAAUAUUUACAUACACAAAAACUAUAAAUAAAAGAAGAUAAACACAUGUACCCAUGACACAGCUUAAGAAAUAGAACAUUACCUGUGCAUUUGAAGUUCCCUGUGUUCUCCUGUCUGAUCAUGUCCCACUUCUUCCCUGCCUCUAGAGGGAGCCACUGGUGUUUACCUCCCAAGGUACUUCCAACACUUUAACUACAAUAGACCCUUAAGCACUAUAUAAUAAUAUUCUCUUGCAUGUUUUUAAAGUUUAUACAAAUAAUCUCAUACCAAUGUGUUUGUUCACUUGCCCUUUUCUCUCAACAUUUAUGUUCAUGAGAAUUCGCCACAUUGAUAAGUGUAGCUGUAGUUUAUUCCUUUUCUCUGCUAUAUAGUAUUUCAUUGUUUGAACACAACACAGUUUUUUCAUUCUCUUGUUUGUGAAUAUUUAGAUUUUUUUCUUAUUUUCUACUCUUCUAAGUCUUUAUAACCGUAAUGUCUUUUGGGUAAAAGGUAGUCAGUAAAUACACUGUAUGAUUUUUAUUCCAAAUUAUAAGUCAUCAUCUAUUACCUUCUUGUAUGGAGACGAGUUUAUCUCAUUUAGUUAACUAUGCUUUUCAGUUUCAAUAUGUCUUUCUUAGUGAAGUGUUAUAAUGCCAAACCCAGCAACUUUCCCCUACGUUUUCCAGUAAUCAAAUUCCAAGCUGAGAUCAUAAAUGGGAAGGGUGAGAGGUCGCGUAGAGGUGAAAUUUUCAGUCGUUAUAGUAAAUUAAAGGUCCAAAUAGAAUCUGAUUAAGGAUAAUGCUUACCUUGUAGUGAAACAUGGCUGCUGACUGCCCUUUCUGAGCACACAAACACUGCUCCUGAGCAGUCUCUCUACUACCUUCUGGACAGGUCUCAUUUAUAAAUUUGUAAGUGAACUGCAACUUUCAUGGCUCAUUUUCUGUAACGGAAACUUCCAGAAUUUCUUUAAAUGCAGCCAUCAGCUUAUGGCUUUUAUUAAUCAGUGCUCCAGAAGACAGGCGCCCCAUGGACACCAAAGGCCAAGGGAGACUGCUGCCACUCUGCUGUGCUGCGCUUUUGGAGGUCCCACCAAGAAGCCCAGUGGAUUCCCCUGCCUUAGUCUGGUAAUCCGCAUUGCUGGCGAAGUGCACCUCGUAAACAGCCUACGCCCAGUCAGCUUGACUCCCAGAGAUGGUGUUUGUUUUACUCUGAUGCUUGCGUGGAGGUUCUGCUAUAAGCUACAGGAAAGAGUCUGUGUCUUUAACAAAGAAAUGGAGUUUCCGAGCCUCAAGGAACAGGACUGGAUUUCAGACUGUUGACAUGUCAAAGCUGCUCUUAUGUUCCCUAGAGCAGGAGUCAGCAAACUGUGUCCUGCUGGCCCUAAAUACCUACUGCCUGUUUUUGUAAAUAAAAUUUUAUUGAAACACAGUCAUGCCCAGUUAUUUAGUUUUUGUCUUUGGCUGAUUUUUUGCUAAAACAGCGAAGUUAAGUAGUUAGAGAGCAUCUGGCUUGCAAAUCUUAAAAUAUUUACUGUCUGGGAUUUUACAGAAAAAGUUUGCUCUCAGACUAUACCAGUGGAUGAACCUGGAUUUUUAUGACUGCUUUUAGCUGAAAAAUAGAUGGCUUCAUGAAAGUGAUAACCCAAGACCCAGCAGAUCACGAAUUAAUUAAACAAGUCUAAGUGAACUGAUGAGGAAAUUUUUAUUGUAGUAACUUUUGGGGGAUGUUGUUGUUUUAUUUUUCUGUUUUUUGGAUAGAUGAGGAAGUCCUAUCUUUUU
RNAcentral lists this long non-coding RNA (4442 nucleotides) under Equus asinus (donkey). RNAcentral describes it as "lncRNA (ENSEASG00005026151.1)". The record is from RNAcentral. Lineage: Eukaryota; Metazoa; Chordata; Mammalia; Perissodactyla; Equidae.